Molecule: long non-coding RNA, 969 nt
Organism: Suricata suricatta (meerkat)
Lineage: Eukaryota; Metazoa; Chordata; Mammalia; Carnivora; Herpestidae
Exons: 3
Source: RefSeq, a predicted model, not a curated record
UGAGUUGUAAUUCGGGGCCUGAAAUAUCCGCCUUCCGACAGCCUUUCAAACAAGGUCACCGAGUUGUAGUCUUCCUCGGGGACUCAGGAAGGAAGCGGCACGCACCUGGUGUGGACUCUCACACACCGCCAAUCCCACAAGGCCGGUGGUCUGUUCAAAAACAAAACACGGUUCACGCUGGUUACAACUCCGCACGUCCACCGCGCUGACGAGGGCAAAGCCACCACUGCCCUGGCUAAAACUGGCCCCAAACCAGCUCUCGGUGUCUCCGAGCCGCUUGUUUGGAGCAUUUUUCUGCCUCUCCCAGAGGGGCUACUGAAUCUGUCAUCCCGGAACGCACAGCAGAACAAGUACCCCUAAAAGCACCCGCAAACCCGCGCCAGUUCCGACCACCACCCGCAGGAUUCGGGGCUAUCGGGCCGACUCUACCCGCACAGUCUAAAUUCCAACAAUGACCUCCCCAAUCACCUUACCUUCUUCAGCAAACCCGCCAUGACCGCGCCAACAGGCCGGGGACGCGCGGCCCUCUGGGAAUCUCGCUCAGACCCGCUCAAUCCACCGCCGAGGCCGGCACUCCGUCACCUAGGAAACCGCUUUGUUCCUCCCCUCAUCCACUCAGGCUCGCCACCCAGGCGAAGGCUGUGCCCCGCCCACUCCUAAAGGGAAAAUUUACGCAUGCGCAGUGAAGUGAUACCAGAGCAUACCACUUCUCCCCACUUUCCUCUACAAUCAAGUACCUAUUAUGUGUUAGUUACGGAGACAAAAUUUGUAAGAAAGGAUCUCACAUCCUGGAAUAUACUGAACAAUGAUGAAGAUACGCAUUAAUAAUUUGGUAGCUGUUCUUCUAAGCCUUUGCUUGGAAAACCCUAACAUCAGAUGGGCACGUGGCUCCAUCUUUCACCUCUUUCAAGUCUUUGCUCAAAUACUACCUUUUCAGUAUGGCCUGCCCUGGCUAUGAGAUUUAAAAUU